Molecule: ribosomal RNA, 449 nt
Filed under: uncultured bacterium
Lineage: Bacteria
Description: partial 16S ribosomal RNA
Rfam family: Bacterial small subunit ribosomal RNA
Source: RNAcentral
GUCGAGAAUCUUUCACAAUGGGGGCAACCCUGAUGGAGCGACGCCGCGUGGAGGAUAAGGUCUUCGGAUUGUAAACUCCUGUCAUGCGUGAACAAGGUUGCUUGGUUAAUACCUGGGCAAAUUGAUGGUAACGCAAGAGGAAGAGACGGCUAACUCUGUGCCAGCAGCCGCGGUAAUACAGAGGUCUCAAGCGUUGUUCGGAAUCACUGGGCGUAAAGGGUGCGUAGGUGGCGUGGUAAGUCAGAGGUGAAAGCCCGGGGCUCAACCUCGGAACUGCAUCCGAUACUGCCGUGCUAGAGUACUGGAGAGGUGACUAGAAUUCUCGGUGUAGCGGUGAAAUGCGUAGAUAUCGAGAGGAAUACCAGAGGCGUAGGCAGGUCACUGGACAGUUACUGACACUGAGGCACGAAGGCCAGGGGAGCGAACGGGAUUAGAAACCCGGGUAGUCC